AAGCGAAGCAGCGAUGUGAAGCAAAUCGCACCAAAGCCGGUCCCAGUUCGGAUAAGAGGCUGAAACUCGCCUCUUUGAAGUCGGAAUCGCUAGUAAUCGCAGAUCAGCACGUUGCGGUGAAUACGUUUCCUGGUCUUGUACACACCGCCCGUCAAACCAUGAGAGUCGCCAACACCCGAAGUCCGCUUUGCGGCCUAAGGUGGGGAGAUGAUUGGGGUUAAGUCGUAACAAGGUAAC
RNAcentral lists this ribosomal RNA (237 nucleotides) under uncultured bacterium. Its description in RNAcentral is "partial 16S ribosomal RNA". It matches the Rfam family "Bacterial small subunit ribosomal RNA", at positions 1247 to 1500 of the family's 1533-position model. The record is from RNAcentral.